GUUCAUUUCCCAUAUUACCUUUUUCUGUCACAUUUGCAAUUUUAUCAAUCCUUAUUUUAUUAAUUCAAAAUUGUCCCCUCUGGUUAAUAAUUUGAGCUAGCCACCUUCAUUCUACCUUAUUACCAAUCUCCCUAUUUACUAUAUAUCACAAAUAUAUAUAUGUGUGUGUGUGUGCAUGUGUCUGUUUA
Molecule: non-coding RNA, 188 nt
Organism: Pseudonaja textilis
Lineage: Eukaryota; Metazoa; Chordata; Lepidosauria; Squamata; Elapidae
Source: RefSeq, a predicted model, not a curated record